Marmota flaviventris (yellow-bellied marmot) is the source of this 107-nucleotide small nuclear RNA. The record is from RefSeq and is a predicted model, not a curated record. NCBI's taxonomy places the organism in Eukaryota, Metazoa, Chordata, Mammalia, Rodentia, Sciuridae.
CUGCUCCCUUCAGCAGCACUUAUGCUAAAAUUGGAACAAUACAGAGAAGAUUACAUUGGCCCCUGCACAAGGAUGACAUGAAAAUUUGUGAAGUGGUCCAUAUUUUG